AAAUCCGUCGAUUUCAAAAAUCGUGAGGGUUCAAGUCCCUCUAUCCCC
This 48-nucleotide transfer RNA is filed under the name Senecio vulgaris. RNAcentral describes it as "partial tRNA-Leu". The record is from RNAcentral. RNAcentral also lists the same sequence under 58 other names. Lineage: Eukaryota; Viridiplantae; Streptophyta; Magnoliopsida; Asterales; Asteraceae.